This 492-nucleotide ribosomal RNA is filed under the name uncultured bacterium. RNAcentral's name for it is "bacterial SSU rRNA". It matches the Rfam family "Bacterial small subunit ribosomal RNA", at positions 27 to 507 of the family's 1533-position model. The record is from RNAcentral.
GGAUGAACGCUAGCUACAGGCUUAACACAUGCAAGUCGAGGGGAAACGAUAUUGGAAGCUUGCUUCUGAUAGGCGUCGACCGGCGCACGGGUGAGUAACGCGUAUCCAACCUGCCCAUCACUUGGGGAUAACCUUGCGAAAGUAAGACUAAUACCCAAUGACGUCUCUAGAAGACAUCUGAAGGAGAUUAAAGAUUUAUCGGUGAUGGAUGGGGAUGCGUCUGAUUAGCUUGUUGGCGGGUAACGGCCCACCAAGGCGACGAUCAGUAGGGGUUCUGAGAGGAAGGCCCCCCACAUUGGAACUGAGACACGGUCCAAACUCCUACGGGAGGCAGCAGUGAGGAAUAUUGGUCAAUGGACGAGAGUCUGAACCAGCCAAGUAGCGUGCAGGAUGACGGCCCUAUGGGUUGUAAACUGCUUUUAUAAGGGAAUAAAGUGAGUCUCGUGAGACUUUUUGCAUGUACCUUAUGAAUAAGGACCGGCUAAUUCCGUG